UACGUAGGGUGCGAGCGUUAAUCGGAAUUACUGGGCGUAAAGCGUGCGCAGGCGGUUUUGUAAGCCAGAUGUUAAAUCCCCGGGCUUAACCUGGGAAUGGCAUUUGGGACUGCAAGGCUGGAGUGCGGCAGAGGAGACUGGAAUUCCUGGUGUAGCAGUGAAAUGCGUAGAUAUCAGGAGGAAUACCGAUGGCGAAGGCAGGUCUCUGGGCUGACACUGACGCUCAUGCACGAAAGCGUGGGGAGCAAACAGG
RNAcentral lists this ribosomal RNA (253 nucleotides) under uncultured bacterium. Its description in RNAcentral is "partial 16S ribosomal RNA". It matches the Rfam family "Bacterial small subunit ribosomal RNA", at positions 524 to 776 of the family's 1533-position model. The record is from RNAcentral.